This 337-nucleotide ribosomal RNA is filed under the name uncultured prokaryote. RNAcentral's name for it is "bacterial SSU rRNA". It matches the Rfam family "Bacterial small subunit ribosomal RNA", at positions 355 to 709 of the family's 1533-position model. The record is from RNAcentral.
UCGGGAAUAUUGGACAAUGGGCGCAAGCCUGAUCCAGCCAUGCCGCGUGUGUGAUGAAGGCCCUAGGGUUGUAAAGCACUUUCAGUGGGGAAGAUAAUGACGGUACCCACAGAAGAAGCCCCGGCUAACUUCGUGCCAGCAGCCGCGGUAAUACGAAGGGGGCUAGCGUUGUUCGGAAUUACUGGGCGUAAAGGGCGCGUAGGCGGUCUGUCGCGUCAGGUGUGAAAGCCCCGGGCUCAACCUGGGAGGUGCACUUGAUACGGGCGGACUGGAAUCCGGGAGAGGAUGGUGGAAUUCCCAGUGUAGAGGUGAAAUUCGUAGAUAUUGGGAAGAGCAC